CUGCUGCCUCCCGUAGGAGUUUGGACCGUGUCUCAGUUCCAAUGUGGGGGACCUUCCUCUCAGAACCCCUACGCAUCGUCGGCUUGGUGGGCCGUUGCCCCACCAACUACCUAAUGCGCCGCAUGCCCAUCCGUGACCGGGGUCGCCCCCUUUGGCCGGCAGGGGAUGUCCCCUCCCGGCAUCAUGUUGUAUUAGGCGGGAUUUCUCCCGGUUAUCCAUCUGUCACGGCCAGGUUGCAUACGUGUUACUCACCCGUGCGCCGGUCGCCCGGG
RNAcentral lists this ribosomal RNA (272 nucleotides) under uncultured bacterium. RNAcentral's name for it is "partial 16S ribosomal RNA". The record is from RNAcentral.